CCUGGCUCAGGACGAACGCUGGCGGCGUGCCUAAUACAUGCAAGUCGAACGCUUCUUUUUCCACCGGAGCUUGCUCCACCGGAAAAAGAGGAGUGGCGAACGGGUGAGUAACACGUGGGUAACCUGCCCAUCAGAAGGGGAUAACACUUGGAAACAGGUGCUAAUACCGUAUAACAAUCGAAACCGCAUGGUUUUGAUUUGAAAGGCGCUUUCGGGUGUCGCUGAUGGAUGGACCCGCGGUGCAUUAGCUAGUUGGUGAGGUAACGGCUCACCAAGGCCACGAUGCAUAGCCGACCUGAGAGGGUGAUCGGCCACAUUGGGACUGAGACACGGCCCAAACUCCUACGGGAGGCAGCAGUAGGGAAUCUUCGGCAAUGGACGAAAGUCUGACCGAGCAACGCCGCGUGAGUGAAGAAGGUUUUCGGAUCGUAAAACUCUGUUGUUAGAGAAGAACAAGGAUGAGAGUAACCUGUUCAUCCCUUGACGGUAUCUAACCAGAAAGCCACGGCUAACUA
RNAcentral lists this ribosomal RNA (515 nucleotides) under Enterococcus faecium. RNAcentral's name for it is "bacterial SSU rRNA". It matches the Rfam family "Bacterial small subunit ribosomal RNA", at positions 18 to 503 of the family's 1533-position model. Lineage: Bacteria; Bacillati; Bacillota; Bacilli; Lactobacillales; Enterococcaceae. The record is from RNAcentral.